UGCUACUUUUGUAUGCUAAUGGAAACUUCAGGAGCCAUUUUCUCUUCCUUCUGAGAGCAGAUGAAUGAGCUCUGUGGGCCUUGUAACAUGGUGUGAUCAGCUGAAGUACUAAAGACUCCAGAACUGCAAGAACGAAGAACUGGGAGAAGCUGCCAGUGAGAGCUGCUCACAGGGAAAGGCAAUGGCUGUUUACCUGUGCUGCUUAGCCAGGCUGUGGAGGACAGAUGGGGUCCCAACAUUCAGAUUCCAAUUUCACAUUGCAUAUUUUGCUCACUGUGGGAACAUACGGCAUGAAUGUGGAGCAGCGGUCACAUCUUUGCUCACUGCUUUUUUGACCCACUUGUGUUCUCUGACAGAAGACAGUGACAUGACAUGAAAGAUAGCACAAGGCUCUUAUUGUUACAUUCAAUAAUUGAUUCUUCUGAAUGGAUUGUGACUUCCUAAAGGUCCCCAGAGAGAGAGUAUCAGGUGAGGAAGGAUGGCAGCAGCUCCUGGGAGAGCCUUCUCUGCAUCUACCGCUCUUCUGCAAGGCCCAAGAGAAUCCCGGUUUUGAAAUACAGAGGGGAGCAGAACUCAUCCAGCAGCCUUUGCCGUGUUGUGGACAUGCACAGUCCGUUUCUUCUGGAAGAACUCGGUGGAGUGGCUUGAAAGUGUUUGUGUUUUGAAGAGGUCAGAACUGCUCCUCGCUAGAUUGUUGUCAGUCAGCAUGACAGCCAGGAAGUUCUGCUGGAGAAAUACUUUGAGCGAUAGCGUAGUGGAAAGCAGAGCUGAACGCAUGCACGCUAGACUCACCUUUUCCUGUUUCUGCAAGAUACCACUUUAAAAUUAGGUGAGAUGCAUUGAUUUGAGAAAGCCAGGAGCAGGCGCCAAAGGAGACGGAAGAGGAGAUGCUGCUUUCUCUCUUACAGAGCUGUUUACUGACCAGCUAUUAUUUUCAUCCUUUAUAUUACCGAGAAAUUCAUACAUUGUAUUUGCCUUUUGUGUACAGCUCUCAACAAGUAUGUCUUUGUCAGCUUUACAAAGGGCUAUAAACUCUGUGUUGCAAAUAAGCCUCAGUAACUGCUGGACAUUAUGACUAAUUGUAAUGCAGCAUAUAUCCUUGAGGACUAUAAACCUAUAUUAAAAGACAAUGGUUGAGAGAAAAGCUAUUGAAUUGAGAUAGCACUCAUGUAACCCCAUGGGGGCUCAACAGACAACAAGGAGGCCAUUGAUACAAGCUCUAAUACAAAAAGCCACAUAGACAGAAAGCCAUCCAAACCAGUAUGGUGUGUGGAUGACCACAUAGUUCAGUUUAAUGCUGCUUUUGUUUUGCUCUCACUUAGAGGCAGACAACACACACUGGAACAUCAGAAUUAGUUCUGUUUAGAUUGCUGCAGACAGAACAAAGGGGCAAACCAGAAAAUUAAUGGAACAGUGCCCCUCUCACCUUCUCUUGUUGUGCACUAAUGCUUCUGAAAUCUGUCCCAGGGUAAAUUUUCUAAUGCAAGUGAAAGAAAGCAGACUAUUGUUGGGUUGCUUUUGGUUUUAGUUUGGUUUUGUUUGUAUUUAAAAGGAAAAAAAAACCAACAACAACAAACCACUGAGCAGUGUCAAAGCUGUUUGAUUUUGUUGGAAUUCUUUUCUAUCUCCCCUUUUUUUUUUUUCUUCUUCUCGCAUGUCCUAAAUAAGUCUGGAUCUCCUGAAACCAUCAUUUGACGUUAAAAUAUAAGCAGUCAGUGUUUAAAAUGCAUUGCCAUUGAGACCUGAAUUGAAUCAGGGCUUGGGAUUUCAGCUUGAGGAAUCCUGGUCUUGGCAUGUCUCUCUUGGGCUGCUUGUAUCCUAUGUUUGGUUUCAUUUCUGUACCUCUGUAUUGUAUCGGGCACUGAAUGAGCUGCACUAAAAAUUGUUUCCCAUUCUGCAGUGGUCAUUUUCUUCCUUUGUAUGGCUACAAUUACUUGGAUUGUAACCUGUGUCUCUGAAUGCACAAACCCACAAAUCUUUUCCUGAGACCACUCUGAGAUACAUCUGAUUCUUGAAUUUAUGUUUAUCUCAGUCUUUGUUCCAAUGCAAGGAACAAGAGCUUCCCUGUAAUUUAAA
This is a long non-coding RNA of Pogoniulus pusillus (Red-fronted tinkerbird), 2076 nucleotides long. RefSeq lists it as uncharacterized. The record is from RefSeq and is a predicted model, not a curated record. The transcript is spliced from 8 exons. Lineage: Eukaryota; Metazoa; Chordata; Aves; Piciformes; Lybiidae.